Molecule: ribosomal RNA, 253 nt
Filed under: uncultured bacterium
Lineage: Bacteria
Description: partial 16S ribosomal RNA
Rfam family: Bacterial small subunit ribosomal RNA
Source: RNAcentral
UACGGAGGGGGCUAGCGUUGUUCGGAAUUACUGGGCGUAAAGCGCGCGUAGGCGGACCUGCAAGUCGGGGGUGAAAGCCCGAGGCUCAACCUCGGAACUGCCUUCGAUACUGCGGGUCUCGAGUCCGGGAGAGGUGAGUGGAAUUCCUAGUGUAGAGGUGAAAUUCGUAGAUAUUGGGAAGAACACCGGUGGCGAAGGCGGCUCACUGGCUCAUUUCCGACGCUCAGGUGCGACAGCGUGGGGAUCAAACAGG